GAUGAAGAACGCAGCGAAACGCGAUAUGUAAUGUGAAUUGCAGAAUUCAGUGAAUCAUCGAAUCUUUGAACGCACAUGGCGCCUUCCAGUAUCCUGGGAGGCAUGCCUGUCCGAGCGUCGUUUCAACCCUCGAGCCCCCGUGGCCCGGCGUUGGGGAUCUGCCCAGGCAGUCCCCGAAAACCAGUGGCGGACCCGUUACAGGCCCUUCCCUUGCGUAGUAGCAUUCGCCUCGCAUCGGGAGCCGGCGGGCUUCCAGCCUCUAAACCCCCAUCAAGUCCGCCCCGGCGGCACCAAGGUUGACUUCGGAUCAGGUAGGAAUACCCGCUGAACUUAAGCAUAUCAAUAAGCGGAGGA
This 354-nucleotide unclassified non-coding RNA is filed under the name soil metagenome. Its description in RNAcentral is "partial contains 5.8S ribosomal RNA, internal transcribed spacer 2, and large subunit ribosomal RNA". The stretch from base 1 to 120 matches the Rfam family "5.8S ribosomal RNA", at positions 35 to 154 of the family's 154-position model. The record is from RNAcentral.